CCUACGGGAGGCAGCAGUAGGGAAUCUUCCGCAAUGGACGAAAGUCUGACGGAGCAACGCCGCGUGAGCGAUGAAGGCCUUCGGGUCGUAAAGCUCUGUUGUUAGGGAAGCGGUACCUAACCAGAAAGCCACGGCUAACUACGUGCCAGCAGCCGCGGUAAUACGUAGGUGGCAAGCGUUGUCCGGAAUUAUUGGGCGUAAAGCGCGCGCAGGCGGUCCUUUAAGUCUGAUGUGAAAGCCCACGGCUCAACCGUGGAGGGUCAUUGGAAACUGGGGGACUUGAGUACAGAAGAGGAAAGCGGAAUUCCACGUGUAGCGGUGAAAUGCGUAGAGAUGUGGAGGAACACCAGUGGCGAAGGCGGCUUUCUGGUCUGUACUGACGCUGAGGCGCGAAAGCGUGGGGAGCAAACAGGAUUAGAUACCCCAGUAGUC
This 432-nucleotide ribosomal RNA is filed under the name uncultured bacterium. RNAcentral's name for it is "partial 16S ribosomal RNA". It matches the Rfam family "Bacterial small subunit ribosomal RNA", at positions 338 to 795 of the family's 1533-position model. The record is from RNAcentral.